CCUACGUGAUGCAGCAGUGAGGAAUAUUGGUCAAUGGGCGCGAGCCUGAACCAGCCAAGUAGCGUGAAGGAUGACUGCCCUACGGGUUGUAAACUUCUUUUAUCAAGGAAUAAAGUGAGGCACGUGUGCCUUUUUGUAUGUACUUUAUGAAUAAGGAUCGGCUAACUCCGUGCCAGCCGCCGCGGUAAUACGGGGGAUCCGAGCGUUAUCCGGAUUUAUUGGGUGUAAAGGGAGCGUAGAUGGGUUGUUAAGUCAGUUGUGAAAGUUUGCGGCUCAAACGUAAAAUUGCAAUUGAUACUGGCAGUCUUGAGGACAGUUGAGGUAGGCGGAAUUCGUGGUGUAGCGGUGAAAUGCUUAGAUAUCACGAAGAACUCCGAUUGCGAAGGCAGCUUACUAAACUGCCACUGACAUUGAUGCUCGAAAGUGUGGGUAUCAAACAGGAUUAGAUACCCGAGUAGUC
This 460-nucleotide ribosomal RNA is filed under the name uncultured bacterium. Its description in RNAcentral is "partial 16S ribosomal RNA". It matches the Rfam family "Bacterial small subunit ribosomal RNA", at positions 338 to 795 of the family's 1533-position model. The record is from RNAcentral.